AGUGAACGCUGGCGGGGGGCCUAACACAUACAAGUCGAACGGCAACAGACUACGAUCUUGCUGGGGCGGGUGGGGGGGGGCGGGCGGGGAAGGAGUACGUCGUAAUCUCCUUUUUGUUGGGGGAUAAAGUAAGGAAGGGGACACUAAUACCGCAUAGCCCCUACUGUUGGAGGGGGGGGGUGUUGUGUCUUGGCGGGUGGGGAUGGACUCGCGGCUUAUUAGCUUGUUGGGGGGGUAGUGGCUUACCAAGGCUUUGACGGGUAGCCGGCCUGAGAGGGUGACCGGCCACAUUGGGACUGAGAUACGGCCCAGACUCCUACGGGAGGCAGCAGUGGGGAAUAUUGCACAAUGGGCGGAAGCCUGAUGCAGCAACGCCGCGUGCGGGAUGACGGCCUUCGGGUUGUAAACCGCUUUCGCCUGUGACGAAGCGUGAGUGACGGUAAUGGGUAAAGAAGCACCGGCUAACUACGUG
RNAcentral lists this ribosomal RNA (472 nucleotides) under uncultured bacterium. RNAcentral describes it as "partial 16S ribosomal RNA". It matches the Rfam family "Bacterial small subunit ribosomal RNA", at positions 30 to 507 of the family's 1533-position model. The record is from RNAcentral.